UACGGAGGAUGCGAGCGUUAUCCGGAUUCAUUGGGUUUAAAGGGUGCGUAGGCGGUUUUUUAAGUCAGUGGUGAAAUCCUGCGGCUCAACCGUAGAACUGCCAUUGAAACUGAAAAACUUGAAUAUAAUUGAGGUAGGCGGAAUGAGUAGUGUAGCGGUGAAAUGCUUAGAUAUUACUCAGAACACCAAUUGCGAAGGCAGCUUACCAAGCUAUAAUUGACGCUGAGGCACGAAAGCGUGGGGAUCGAACAGGAUUAGAUACCCUGGUAGUCCACGCCGUAAACGAUGUUCACUCGCUGUUUGCGAUAUACAGUAAGCGGCCAAGCGAAAGCAUUAAGUGAACCACCUGGGGAGUACGUCGGCAACGGUGAA
Molecule: ribosomal RNA, 372 nt
Filed under: uncultured bacterium
Lineage: Bacteria
Description: bacterial SSU rRNA
Rfam family: Bacterial small subunit ribosomal RNA
Source: RNAcentral